UGAGAACUCAAAGGAGAAGCAUUUACGCACAGGUCCUACACUCAGCUGGGGCGGAAACAAUCUGCGGCUGCAGGUUUGCCACCGGCGGCAUAAAAGGGGACACACGCAGCACUGAGGAGGAACUGAGAAUGAAUGACCGCGUUCAAAGAGUGACCGUGAGUUUCUGUUGGGAAAGCAUCAAGAUCUGCGGCAAACUGUGCAGGAUUGCUUUCAUCUCCAAAAUCCGGGUUGCAGCCGGAAGAGGAGAGUCUGACGGAGGAGCAGAGGAAUGUUGGCAGCCAUUUAGUCUGAGCUCAACAACGGAGGAAACAUGGAUUCUUCACAAAAAAAAUGUAAACACAACGAUGGAGUGGGAUGUGGGACCUCUGAGGACGAUAAAGAUGGUUCAGCAACAACAGCAAAAAGAGAUGAAUCACUCAGUUGUGAGCAGUGUGGCAAGACUUUUAUCACAGCAACAAAGCUAAGAAUUCACAAACGUAUUCACACUGUGGAGAAACCAUUCGGCUGUGGCAGUGGAAUGAAAUUUAUUGGAUAUUUUAAACUUUUUUAACCCUUUAAGGCCCCACGUAGCGCCGGCGCUACGUUUUGCAUAUUGAUUUUUGAUUGGCUGUCGAUUUGAAACCAGAUAAGAUAGAUCAAUAAUUCUUUUUGCAUAUAAAAUCUGGGGAGUCAGUCUAUCAUUUCACAUAUUUACCAGGUCUCAGAGUGUUUUCUCGUUGCAGUGAUGGGUUUGUAAAAAUACACAAUAAAGCGCACACGGCGUAAAUCUAUAUAAACAGAGACCGCGGGUUUUUGCAGGGCUUCUCAGUUGAAAUAAACGUGAUCACGGUGUGGCCACAACCUGUCACAUGAUUCUUACGUGUCCAUACCUGAGAGGCUCCCGUCCCCAAUAACAGGAAGUGACGUGUUUGCCGGGAAUUGUAGUUUUUCCGCCAAACCCGAAAAACAGCCUGCACAGGGGUGCACUCUCUCCCUCGGUUUCACCCCUACUUUAUUUUACAAAAACACUCAGACACACAGCCCACACACACCAGACAUCCAUCAAACACACCUUUGACCCACUAUCACACAGUUAUGGAGCCACAAAAACUUGGUUGCGCCAAAUUAUUUUACAUCUGCCGCGUAGUUCUCCAUCAACUUACAGCGUUGGAUGAAGCAUCCAGCCACCCAUCUGGCCUCAAUUCUGUCACCAGCGCGGAUGCAGCCAACCGUAUCGAAGGAAUUGAUCAUUCCAAUGACAUGUAAGUAUAUAUUCAUGAGAAGUUGCUUGUUUUGAGUUGGAAAAAAGUAAAAAAAAAAAAAAAAAAAAACGUGAUAUACAUGUAACGCCGCCGAAAGCAUACUGCGCAAAAUACGCAUCAUUUUUACAAGUCAUGCGCUGCAAACAUCUAACGUAACGCAAAACUUUUUCUGUGUGCAGUGUUGACAAUGUUGGAAAGAAGUAUUAGGAGGACGAGGAGGAGGAAGAGGAGAGAAUGGAGGUCUCCUGCUCUCCUGGUACCCGAGCGAGAGCCAGAGGGAGAGGCAGAGCCCUGGCUCCAGCCAGGAGAGGUUGCAGCAGCCGCUCCACCAGCGAGCGCUCUUGGCCAGAGGCACUUCCUACAGAUGGCUGGAAAACUGAGAAGGACCCUGACAGCUUACCUUCUCUGCCACAUUUCCUGCCUAAAAGGAGGCCAGAUGUCCAGCCACCUCUGUUAGAAUAUGUGGACAACCCUUCUCCAUCAAACUGUCCAAGUACUUGGACCAGGCAGCCCUCAAAACACUGUUUCUGAUUGAACUCAGUAAAAAAGAUUUUCUUUUAUUUUCAAAUGCACUCUUUAUGGUCUUAUCAUGGUUUUGUACAUAAAAUAUAUGUGUUCAUAAGUAUCUGGCACAAUUAGAAAUUUGAUUGCACUAUUUUAAACAGUUUCUUUUGAUACCAAUGUUGUGUCUUUGCAAAUUUUGCAUUGUUCUUUAUUUUCGGGGGAUUUUCAGUUUACAAAAUUGACCAUAUCUCAAAAAGCAAGUGAUGUACAGACUCCAAAUAAAUUUCCUGUGGUUCUAAAGGAUA
Acanthochromis polyacanthus (spiny chromis) is the source of this 2050-nucleotide long non-coding RNA. RefSeq lists it as uncharacterized. The record is from RefSeq and is a predicted model, not a curated record. The transcript has 3 exons. NCBI's taxonomy places the organism in Eukaryota, Metazoa, Chordata, Actinopteri, Pomacentridae.